UGGGGAAUAUUGCACAAUGGGCGCAAGCCUGAUGCAGCCAUGCCGCGUGUGUGAAGAAGGCCUUCGGGUUGUAAAGCACUUUCAGCGAGGAGGAAGGGUAGUGUGUUAAUAGCACAUUGCAUUGACGUUACUCGCAGAAGAAGCACCGGCUAACUCCGUGCCAGCAGCCGCGGUAAUACGGAGGGUGCAAGCGUUAAUCGGAAUUACUGGGCGUAAAGCGCACGCAGGCGGUGUGUUAAGUCAGAUGGGAAAUCCCCGCGCUUAACGUGGGAACUGCAUUUGAAACUGGCAAGCUAGAGUCUUGUAGAGGGGGGUAGAAUUCCAGGUGUAGCGGUGAAAUGCGUAGAGAUCUGGAGGAAUACCGGUGGCGAAGGCGGCCCCCUGGACAAAGACUGACGCUCAGGUGCGAAAGCGUGGGGAGCAAACA
Molecule: ribosomal RNA, 427 nt
Filed under: uncultured bacterium
Lineage: Bacteria
Description: partial 16S ribosomal RNA
Rfam family: Bacterial small subunit ribosomal RNA
Source: RNAcentral